AGAGUUUGAUCCUGGCUCAGAAUGAACGCUGGCGGCGUGCCUAACACAUGCAAGUCGGAUGUGCCGCAAGGUGCAUGGCAGACGGGUGAGUAACGCGUAGGGAAUCUACCUUUUUGUGGGGAAUAACGCUCCGAAAGGAGUGGUAAUACCGCAUGAGACCGUGGCCUGGGAUGGUUACGGUGAAACCUGGGGACCGCAAGGCCUGGGGCAAAGAGAGGAUCCUGCGUCUGAUUAGUUAGUUGGUGGGGUAACGGCCUACCAAGACAUCGAUCAGUAGCCGGCCUGAGAGGGUGAUCGGCCACACUGGAACUGAGACACGGUCCAGACUCCUACGGGAGGCAGCAGUGGGGAAUUUUGCGCAAUGGACGAAAGUCUGACGCAGCAACGCCGCGUGGGUGAUGAAGGUCUUCGGAUCGUAAAACCCUGUCGUCGGGGACGAAGGUGGGCUUGUUAAUAGCGAGUUUACUUGACGGUACCCGGAGAGGAAGCCCCGGCUAACUCUGUGCCAGCAGCCGCGGUAAUACAGAGGGGGCAAGCGUUAUUCGGAAUUAUUGGGCGUAAAGGGUGCGUAGGCGGUCGUUUAAGUAGGAUGUGUAAUCCCCGGGCUUAACCUGGGAACUGCAUCCUAGACUGGACGACUUGAGUACUGGAGAGGGUGGUAGAAUUCCACGUGUAGCGGUGAAAUGCGUAGAGAUGUGGAGGAAUACCAGUGGCGAAGGCGGCCACCUGGACAGUAACUGACGCUGAGGCACGAAAGUGUGGGUAGCAAACAGGAUUAGAUACCCUGGUAGUCC
RNAcentral lists this ribosomal RNA (794 nucleotides) under uncultured bacterium. RNAcentral describes it as "bacterial SSU rRNA". It matches the Rfam family "Bacterial small subunit ribosomal RNA", at positions 8 to 796 of the family's 1533-position model. The record is from RNAcentral.